Molecule: ribosomal RNA, 253 nt
Filed under: uncultured bacterium
Lineage: Bacteria
Description: partial 16S ribosomal RNA
Rfam family: Bacterial small subunit ribosomal RNA
Source: RNAcentral
UACAGAGGUCUCGAGCGUUAGGCGGAAUCACUGGGCUUAAAGCGUGUGUAGGCGGAUCUGUAAGUACCUUGUGAAAUCCCACGGCUCAACCGUGGAACUGCUUGGUAUACUGCGGGUCUUGAGCCACCUAGGGGCAAGUGGAACAAACGGUGGAGCGGUGAAAUGCGUAGAUAUCGUUUGGAACGCCAAUGGUGAAAACAACUUGCUGGGGGUGUGCUGACGCUGAGACACGAAAGCCAGGGGAGCAAACGGG